Numida meleagris (helmeted guineafowl) is the source of this 1742-nucleotide long non-coding RNA. RefSeq lists it as uncharacterized. The transcript has 4 exons. The record is from RefSeq and is a predicted model, not a curated record. Lineage: Eukaryota; Metazoa; Chordata; Aves; Galliformes; Numididae.
GCCCCUCACUGGCAGGGCAGUAUGAGAUGCUGAGAAACCAAAAUGUCCUUGGUUCUGUACAGCACCGCUGAGCAACAACCAAACGUUGUUUGAUCAACCAGAUGUAAACUGCAAACAUUGCCAGUGAGAUAACAUUACUCUUUUGUGAAGAUCAAGACAGAGCUCUGGGAUGAAGAUUAGGGAUUUCAAGUUCCAAUUAAAACAGUGUUUGGGCCAUUGCUUUGCCUGCCAGUGCUUAAUCUUUUCCGAAAGCCUCAUCACUUAUCUAAAACAAAAGAAGAACGAGGGAUUUCCUUGGUUUGGGGAGGAGAAGGACGGCAGAUGUCAGAAGACCCAGCCAACCCUGCCCUGUAUGCCCUCUUCGUUAUCUGUGCCGCAUGGUUAGCUGAGUGAUGCAAGGGCCAGGGCAUCAAAUUACUAAUGAGUCUGAGACAGUUACCGUUAUUUUAGAAAAAUGCUAAAAGCUUUUAAUAAUGCUGCGAGAAAUGAACCUUUUUUGAGGUAUGUGAUAUUCUGCAUUUUAUAAUUUAUCUCUGUGUAGUUUCUAAGAAAGUUAAUGAAGUUACAGAGUAAUUAAACCACGUCUCUUGCAGCUUUGUUGGCUUCCUGUAUAUAUGAAACAGGCAUUGAUGUACUAGAUGUUAUCUCUUAUGGAAGAGGUGCAGAAUAUUUUAAUAGCCAUUGUGCAAUUAUAUUUUGAGUUACAUAACUAGUGGGAUUUAUUGGUUUUCUUGUAUUUGCUUUGUUUUCAUUUGUGUCUAGUUUGGCUUGUAUAAAUCUACACAAUGUAGUGGUUUAAUUGCCAACAGAAUCCAGGCUGAAAGCCAGCUUUUAAGGAGUACUAGUCUAAUGCCAAAGUAAUGUAGUGCCUGAAUCUGGUGGGAGGAGAGGAGGAUGCAGGAAAGAGUGUAUGGGCUGUGGCUAUAAAUUACUGAGUUCUGUGUCUGUCUGUUGGAACAUCAUGCUGUAACUGCAAAAAUCAGAGGAAAACUGUACUUUCUAGAUUAUUGUGUUUUUUUUUUCUUUUUUUUGUAUUCAGUGUUAUUCUAACAGGUCACAGAGAAAGAACUUGUCCAUUUCAAACUUUAAGUAAAAAUAAGCAUACGUGAAAUGGGUUGGAAAGGAUUUUUAAGGAAGUAGCUCCAGCCCUCAGCUGCAGGUCAUAUCAUCUGCCAGAUGAUUUCAGAAGCAGACCCUCUUCUCAGUUUUCUGCUGCAGUACUUUUUCAUUGAAACACUAACUUAUUUCCUGAGGAGUUGGUUUUCUCUUCCAUGAUGAAGCAUUUCUGUAAUUGCAGAGCAGAUUUACUAUGCAGAGUCCUGUUAGUAGACAGCUAAAAAGGCCAUUAAACUACAGUUCCUGAAGAUCACUCCUGUGCCGUGUCAGAAACAUGUCAAAGAUGCAGCCUCCCCCCCACAAAAGCACAAACGAGCUUAGCUGAGAUUUGUUGGAAAAAUUAAACUGGGGGGGGUAAGUCAACUGUGGGUUGAAAGAACGUGAAGUAUUCAGUUUAAAAUAGCCCAUUCUUUCCCAAAGAAAUGCAUUGCUUCAGUUAUAGGUAGUAUGGAUAUGCUUAUCUUGAUAAACUUAAUUAUUUCAUGUAGUGUAAUGAACGGUCUUUUUCGUACUUUAGAAAAUCUUCUAUAUUGAUACAUAUGAUGUAUAGAGUGGUAUAUUGAAAUAUCGUAUGUUAUAUAUAUGAUGUAAAGUGAGAAGGUGUUCACAGUUGGAGAAAAGAUGCA